UCAAACGAGAGUUUGAUCCUGGCUCAGAAUCAACGCUGGCGGCGUGCCUAACACAUGCAAGUCGAACGAGAAAGGGGUAGCAAUACCCUGAGUAAAGUGGCGCACGGGUGAGUAACACGUGACUAACCUACCCUGGAGUGGGGGAUAACUGAGGGAAACCUUAGCUAAUACCGCAUAAUACCCACGGGUCAAAGGAGCAAUUCGCUUUGGGAGGGGGUCGCGGCCGAUUAGUUAGUUGGCGGGGUAACGGCCCACCAAGACGAUGAUCGGUAUCCGGCCUGAGAGGGCGCACGGACACACUGGAACUGAAACACGGUCCAGACUCCUACGGGAGGCAGCAGUGGGGAAUUUUGCGCAAUGGGGGAAACCCUGACGCAGCAACGCCGCGU
This 389-nucleotide ribosomal RNA is filed under the name Occallatibacter sp. RNAcentral's name for it is "partial 16S ribosomal RNA". It matches the Rfam family "Bacterial small subunit ribosomal RNA", at positions 1 to 402 of the family's 1533-position model. Lineage: Bacteria; Pseudomonadati; Acidobacteriota; Terriglobia; Terriglobales; Acidobacteriaceae. The record is from RNAcentral.